This 600-nucleotide ribosomal RNA is filed under the name uncultured bacterium. RNAcentral's name for it is "bacterial SSU rRNA". It matches the Rfam family "Bacterial small subunit ribosomal RNA", at positions 741 to 1344 of the family's 1533-position model. The record is from RNAcentral.
UGACGUUUAGGCUCGAAAGUGCGGGUAUCAAACAGGAUUAGAUACCCUGGUAGUCCGCACAGUAAACGAUGGACACUCGCUGUCGGCGACAGACAGUCGGCGGCCAAAGCGAAAGCGUUAAGUGUCCCACCUGGGGAGUACGCCGGCAACGGUGAAACUCAAAGGAAUUGACGGGGGCCCGCACAAGCGGAGGAACAUGUGGUUUAAUUCGAUGAUACGCGAGGAACCUUACCCGGGCUUGAACUGCGCAGGAAUGUUGGGGAGACCCAUCAGUCAGCAAUGACCUGCGUGGAGGUGCUGCAUGGUUGUCGUCAGCUCGUGCCGUGAGGUGUCGGCUUAAGUGCCAUAACGAGCGCAACCCCUUCUUCCAGUUGCCAUCGGGUGAUGCCGGGCACUCUGGAGGGACUGCCGCCGUAAGGUGUGAGGAAGGCGGGGAUGACGUCAAAUCAGCACGGCCCUUACGUCCGGGGCUACACACGUGUUACAAUGGGGGGUACAGCGGGGUGCCACCGCGCGAGCGGGCGCCGAUCCUCAAACCCUCCCGUAGUUCGGAUUGGGGUCUGCAACCCGACCCCAUGAAGCUGGAUUCGCUAGUAAUCG